CAAUAGCCCAUUUAUUUUGCAGCGUACAGAUAAAAGCCCGCUGCAAUAAAAAAAUUUCGCUGCAAAGCUAAUUAAGAAAAACAUUUCGGAUCUCAAACCUAAGGACGCUCAUACUCCCUCUUCUUCCCUCAGCUUUCCCUGCGUACUCUCUCACCUCCUCAUUCUUCUUCUUCUUCAUCUGCUCUCUUUCUCUCUCCUAAAUCCCUUCUUUCUCCGCCAUAUUCCCCCAAUUCUGAGGUCCUUUUCGUGAAUUCUCCCCCGUUUUCUCGCCGCGGUUUCUUCCCCAGGUAACUCCCAUUUCGACGCUUUUUUCUGAAUCCCCCCUUUUUUGUUCUAAGUUUUCUCUAAUUCGUGGUUUUUUUGGGUUUUUUGCAAGUAAUUGUUGAAAUUGGGUGACAAUUCGUCUUGGUUUUUGUGAAAAUUUGCUCGACUCUUUCUCUCCAAGCAUCUGGCCUUCGACCUCAGCCUUCGAACUCAGCCGCCUUCGAAAUUGAGGAGGUUUAGGGUCUCGAAUCAGCAAUUUGUUCAAAAGAAGAUGAGUUGUUGUCCGAGUUCUGGAUUCAAUCAUCAACCAUGUAGCCAAUCUCAGAAGAUGUCCAUUGGGGUGGUCGUUGAGUCCGUUGCCAAAUCUCGUUGUGGAUUCAUGAAAGAGGCUGGUGUUUCAAUCAGGCAUUCACAGAAGGAAGCAUCUGAUGCACAGUAUUUGACGAGAACGGAAGUAGGCCUGUUCGGAAACCUGUGGUCUUCCGACGUAAACGACAUAGCAGUCAUGAUGUUGACUCUACUGAUAUCAGUCCUACUUUGUAUACUCCAGAAGAAAGGGGCAAUUCUGGUGAUGUGUUAACGGAAUGCUUGGAUGAAAUUCCAGAGGACGGAACCGACGGAUUGGCCAGAGUGGUUUCGUUGUUAGGCUUGGAGUUAGAAAAGGUUAAAACCAAAAUGAUGUCAGUGACAAACAAAAAAUGCUCAGAAAUACUGGUGUCUGCUGCCGAAGAAAUUCAUUCACAGCUGCAGAAUGUUGAGUCUCAGAUUCAGACAGAUUUAGUGAAACUAACAAGCCUCAAGACAUCUAAAAGGAAACAUCUGGAGACAAGGCUUGAAGGUCUACACUCCGAGGAUUGCGCCUUAUGCGAGGAAUUUGAUGUGGUUCGUGAGCAAUGGGCUAAGUUUUUUACCAACAAGUAUUUAUUAUUGGCUUUAGCGCGCUUGAUCGAGUUGGUUUAGUUGUUAUAGAAUAAAUUUUAUAUUAAAAUGUAUGUUUAUGUUGAAAUUGGAACAUAUAUUUAAAUGUAAUAUGUGCACUUUGGU
Molecule: long non-coding RNA, 1308 nt
Organism: Spinacia oleracea (spinach)
Lineage: Eukaryota; Viridiplantae; Streptophyta; Magnoliopsida; Caryophyllales; Amaranthaceae
Exons: 7
Source: RefSeq, a predicted model, not a curated record